This 1319-nucleotide ribosomal RNA is filed under the name Ambispora leptoticha. RNAcentral's name for it is "bacterial LSU rRNA". It matches the Rfam family "Bacterial large subunit ribosomal RNA", at positions 1267 to 2596 of the family's 2925-position model. Lineage: Eukaryota; Fungi; Glomeromycota; Glomeromycetes; Archaeosporales; Ambisporaceae. The record is from RNAcentral.
GGACUAGUGGAGUUUUUACUAGUGAGAAUGCCGGCGUGAGUAACGAUAGAAGGUGAGAAUCCUUCUGGCCGUAUGACCAAGGUUUCCAGGGUGAAGGUCGUCUACCCUGGGUUAGUCGGGACCUAAGGCGAGGCCGAAAGGCGUAGUCGAUGGAUAACAGGUUAAUAUUCCUGUACUCACCGUAAUUACUGAUGGAGUGACGAAGCCAGCUAAGAUAAACCAGUUAUUGAUUCUGGUCCAAGUACAAAGAGGGUCUGGUAGGCAAAUCCGCCAGGCAUAACCUUGAAGUAUGAUGGGUAGGGCAACCGAAUUAUCUGAACGCUUUGCUUCCAAGAAAAACUUCUAAAGAUAUAAUUAUGGUACUCGUACCAAGAACGAACACACGUGGUCGGGGAGAAAAUCCUCAGGCCAGCGAGAAAACUAUAGUUAAGGAACUCGGCAAAUUAGCCCCGUAAGUUCGCGAGAAGGGGUGCCUAGGGCAACCUAGGCCGCAGUGAAGAGGCACCGGCAACUGUUUAUCAAAAACACAGCUCUCUGCUAAGGCGUAAGCCGAUGUAUAGGGGGCGACGUCUGCCCAGUGCUCCAAGGUUAAGAGGGGGGGUUAGCCAGUAGUAAGAUACUGGUGAAGCUCUGAAUUGAAGCCCGAGUGAACGGCGGCGGUAACUAUAACCGUCCAAAGGUAGCGAAACUCCUUGUCAGGUAAGUUCUGACCCGCAUGAAAGACGUAAUGACUGGUGCACUGUCUCAACUAUAGACUCGGUGAAAUCUUAGUACCGGUGAAGAUGCCGGUUACCCGCAACUAGACGGAAAGACCCCGUGGAGCUUUACUGCAACUUGAUAUUGGGUUUUUCUCUUGUUUGUACAGGAUAGGUGGGAGACUAUGAGGCUAGGACGCCAGUUCUAGCGGAGUCGUUGGUGGGAUACCACCCUAACAGGCGGAAAAUUCUAACUUAUUGGUUUACAGCCAAAAGGACAGUGUUUGGUGGGUAGUUUGACUGGGGCGGUCGCCUCCUAAAAAGUAACGGAGGUGUUCAUAAGGUAUCCUCAGUAGGUAUAGAAAUCCUAUGUAGAGCGUAAAGGUACAAGGAUGCUUAACUGUGAGACUUACAAGUCGAACAGAUACGAAAGUAGGACUUAGUGAUCCGGCGGUUCUUAGUGGUAAGGCCGUCGCUAAACGGACAAAAGUUACCCCGGGGAUAACAGGCUAAUACUUCCCAAGAGAUCACAUCGACGGAAGUGUUUGGCACCUCGAUGUCGACUCAUCGCAUCCUGGAGGUGAAGAAGCUUCCAAGGGUUGGGCUGUUCGCCCAUUAAAGCGG